UCGCAUUGAUUACGUCCCUGCCCUUUGUACACACCGCCCGUCGCACCUACCGAUUGAAUGAUUCGGUGAAAAUUUUGGACCGUGGCUAAGACGCCCUCGGGCGACUUUGCUGUGGGAAGUCAUUUAAACCUCAUCAUUUAGAGGAAGGUGAAGUCGUAACAAGGUUUCCGUAGGUGAACCUGCGGAAGGAUCAUUACCACUACCUUAAGCCA
This 212-nucleotide ribosomal RNA is filed under the name Synura curtispina. RNAcentral's name for it is "partial 18S ribosomal RNA". It matches the Rfam family "Eukaryotic small subunit ribosomal RNA", at positions 1636 to 1831 of the family's 1831-position model. The record is from RNAcentral. Lineage: Eukaryota; Synurophyceae; Synurales; Mallomonadaceae.